This is a long non-coding RNA of Armigeres subalbatus, 933 nucleotides long. RefSeq lists it as uncharacterized. Lineage: Eukaryota; Metazoa; Arthropoda; Insecta; Diptera; Culicidae. The transcript has 3 exons. The record is from RefSeq and is a predicted model, not a curated record.
GAAUAUAUUUAUCAGAUUGGUCCGAUUCGCGUAACAAAAUCAAACUAAACAAGUGAUUGAUUUAGCAGGCACACAAAUUCAGAGCAACAGCCCCGCUGCUAGAAGAUCCCAGUUUUGCAUUAUGCUUCCGGCUCCGGCUUCCGCCGAUGUGUCUACAACGAGGAGCUGUAGAAGGAAAUUUUCAUCAUGGAGGAACAUACUCAAAAGGAAUCGAGAAUAUCUUGACUGGACGACAACGAUGACGGAAAAUACAACGACAAAAAGCCGGAGGAAAAUCCUGUAAACAAGCUCUACGGAAGAAGGGGGAGGAUCGGUGACAGCAACAGGCAUUCGUUCGUGUUUUGGGGGACAUGCGCUAAUGCUCGUGGGGUGCGUGUGCAAUUACUCGUCUAGAUGUCCCCUACAGCUGUAAAGGAGGCCACCGCGGGCGCGUUUCUGAUCCAUCCGGAAGUGCGCGUAUGUUGUGCGAGUGAGUGUUAGAGGACCCACUCCUGACCCUGUACUUUUCGGACACUUUGAACGAAGGUUUUCGAGCAUCAAAAAGAUAAUCGCCGCUGCAGCUCGCAUAUCGAAGGUUCCAAGAUUUGUCAUCAUCAAUCUACAAAAGUGGUGGAGGAAAGGUGAAAAUGAAGAUCUCUAUACUGACUACGAGAACGAACCCAUCAACAGUGAAGGAUAUCCUGUCGUUUUCCUGGCAGAUCAGCAAGGAAAUGGCUUUUCUAACUUCAUCGCGAUCUGGUCGCUUGGAAUGCGCUUCUCGGUGAGGGUCGUGUACCGGAGAACAAAGGCCGUGUAAGAUACGAAAAGCGAUGUCUGGGCAUUCGGAGUCGUGGGCUGUCUGCUGGAAAUCGAUCACCUUGGGCGCAUCCCCUUAUUCUGGCAUACCACCAUAGCGAGAGAAAUGGAAAUGGAAUGCCCGAAACAUUAUUCGGA